This 1101-nucleotide long non-coding RNA is filed under the name Mus spretus (western wild mouse). RNAcentral describes it as "lncRNA (ENSMSPG00010050414.1)". The record is from RNAcentral. Lineage: Eukaryota; Metazoa; Chordata; Mammalia; Rodentia; Muridae.
AUUCAAUCACAGCCUCAAGUUCAAAAGUGAAUUAAAACUCAAAGAAGCCUGGGGACAGGGACAAGAGUACUUCUGUCAUUCAUUCUCUUCCCCUGCUUCCUUGGGGACAAGGGUGGCCUGGAGGAACAAUAGUGUCCCCUGGCCCCUUCUUCCUGCAUUGGGUUAGAAAAGGCAGCAGAAAGCAGUGGGGAUGACAAAGACACACACACACACACACACACACACACACACACACACACACACACACACACACCAGGCUUGAGAAGGGAGGAGGAGGAGGCGUCUCUGGCUGGACGGACAGACUGUUAUUUUGGUGGUGGGCAUGGUCCCAGAUAGGGGCAGCGUUCCCCUUUUUCCUGGCUUUUCAGGGAGAGCAGCAAGAGAAAGAAAGAAGCAAACGAAAUUCCUGAAUGGAUAAGAGAUGCUACGUCAGCGGUACUGGAGCCGCAUCCUCCACUCCACGAGAAGAGAAGAGCUAGGAGAGACCAGCGGGCGGUAGCUGCGGCGAGUGGCCUCUCCGUGCAGCACAGAGGCAAGAAGCAGCCAUCCAUCCAGAAGCAGCCUCCGUGUUCCGUUUGUCCGGAUGUCAUCGUAGGUGGCCGGCAUCUCUGGCUUUGGGGCAGACAUCCUGCACUACAUUCCAGAUCUGAUGAGGCAUGGCUGCCCCAGGAUUACUGGGCUCGGACCCGAGCAGUGGUAGGAAGGAUCCUAUAUAAGUCAUGUGAGACAUAGAAUGUUCAGAUCAACUGAAGCUGAAACAAGCCUUUGGCAUCAUAUAUAACCCAGAAAGGGACACAGCUGAUCCCAGAGGACUCAAGGCUAUGGGUGAUGUUGAAGGUGUGGAAGAAUCAAGUUGGAAAGACCAGCAGGAGACAGACAGAGUAAGGUUCCUUGAAUGCUUGGUUUAUGUGCCUGGCUGAAGGAGACACCCAUGGCCUUGCAGAGGGAGCAUUCUGGUGGGAAAGCAGACACAACCCACCCUAGGCCCGUGGUUUCCCUGCAAGAAGCCCAGUGGCUUUCUGGAGGACACUUUUCCUGGAGGAAGUGACUCAAGCACAAGUUCUUGGUGGCCUCAAUUCACGGUCUCUUCCUGUUGAUCAG